Anolis carolinensis (green anole) is the source of this 3785-nucleotide long non-coding RNA. RefSeq lists it as uncharacterized. The transcript has 2 exons. Lineage: Eukaryota; Metazoa; Chordata; Lepidosauria; Squamata; Anolidae. The record is from RefSeq and is a predicted model, not a curated record.
CGCGUGAUUCGGCGGCAUUCGCCAUCUUGGUUCUCGGCCUCUUCGCUGACGUCGCGGCCUCCAUGAUGUGGAGCUUUUUGGCGGGAAGCGGCUGCCGAGAGCCGCGAAAUGGCGGACGCCGCCGCGGAGGAAAAUCUCGCGAGAGCGGCAAAAGGCGGGGGUGGAAAAAGGGGCGGGAACCAGACGAGCGAGGGGGCGGGGCCAACGCUAGUGUCGUCACUCAGAAAGCUGGCGGGAGGGAAGGAAGGAAAACCCGGAAUCCGGAACCAUGGAAUGGAGCUUCUGGAAGAAAGGGAUUCUGGAUUUGUUUUGCCAAAGGCUUUCAUGGCUAGAAUCACUGGGUUGCUGUGAGUUUUCCGGGCUGUCUGGCCAUGUUCCAGAAGCAUUCUCUCCUGACGUUUCGCCCACAUCUAUGACAGGCAUCCUCAGCGAUUGUGGGGUCUGUUGGAAACUAGGCAAGUGAGGUUUAUAUAUUUGUGGGAUAAUGUCUAGGGUGGGAGAAAGAAAGAACUCAUGUCUGUUUGAGGCAGGCUCAAUGCUAUGAAAUUAUGGGAUUUGUAGUUUGGCGAGGCAGAGGAGGCUAAAGAUGUGUAUAUUUAUAAGUGUAUUUUAAUGAACGUCUAAUGUAUUUAAUUUUAAUUGAUUCGCAAUAUUAUUUAUAUAUAUAUAUAUAUAUAUAUAUAUAUAUACAUUUUAUAUAAUAUUAUAUAAUAUAUAUAUAAUAUUAUUUUAUAUAUAAUAUAUUUUAUAUAUUGAUUCACAAUAUUAUUUUAAAAAUAUUAUUUUUAUAUAUGUGCUUUUAUUGUAAGCUGCCCUGAGUCCCCUAUUGGGGUCUGUAAUAAAUAAAUAAUAAAUAAAGACUGCAGAAACCCAAACUCCCAGGAUCCCAUAGCAUUGAGCAGGUGGAAGUGGGAUCAAACUGCAUUAAUUCUGCAGUGCAGAUGCACCCAAAGAACCUUCAUUCUUUGUUGACUUUGACUUUCUUUGGGGAAGGUUUGCCGUGGGCUUUGUUUGAGGCUGAGAGAGUGUGAUUUGCGUAAGCACGGGUUUCUUUAGCAUCCAAACUGCUCUAUUGGCCUUGUGUGUGUCUGCAGGUCUGGGAUUAAUGUGAUUAGACCCCAACUUCUUCAACCACUGUUGCUGAAUGCUAUUGAGUUGUGGGAUUUGUAGUUUCCCAAGGCCCUUUCUCCUUCUCUGCCAAACUGCAAAGCCCAUGACGGGCUGCCUCCCAUCCAAGUAUCAUCCGGGGCAGACCCUGCUAAGCUUUGGUUGGCCUUCGGGGCCAUUUGUUUGUGUGUUUUGUUUAAAUCUUUCCGGUUUGUCAAUGAAGGUAAUUAAAGUUAUUUUCUUAACCCAAUUUAAAAAGAACCCAGUGUCAAAAAAUAUACCGUAGAGUCUCACUUAUCCAAGGUUCUGGAUUAUCCGAGGCAUUUUUGUAGUCAAUGUUUUCAAUACAUCAUGAUAUUUUGGUGCUAAAUUCGUAAAUACAGUAAUUACUACAUGGCAUUAUUGCGUAUUGAACUACUUUUUCUGUCAAAUGUGUUGUAUAACAUGAUGUUUUGAUGCUUAAUUUGUAAAAUCAUAACCUAAUUUAUGUUUAAUAGGCUUUUCCUUAAUCCCUCCUUAUUAUCCAACAUAUUCGCUUAUCCAACGUUCUGCCAGCCCGUUUAGCUUGGAUAAGUGAGACUCUACUGUAGCAUCCAGGGCAGACCCUGCUUAGCUUUGGUUGGCCUUCGGGGCCAUUUAUUUUUGUUGUUAGUUUAAAUCACUCAGGUUUGUCAAUGAAGGUAAUUAAAGUUCUUUCCUUAACCCAAUUUAAAAAGAACCCAGUGUCAAAAAUACAGUAGAGUCUCACUUAUCCAACGUUCUGGAUUAUCCAACACAUUUUUGUAGUCAAUGUUUUCAAUAUAUCAUGAUAUUUUGGUGCGAAAUUCGUAAAUACAGUAAUUACUACAUAGCAUUACUGCGUACUGAACUACUUUUUCUGCCAGAUUUGUUGUAUAACAUGAUGUUUUGGUGCUUAAUUUGUAAAAUCAUAACCUAAUUUGAUGUUUAAUAGGCUUCUCCUUAAUCUCUCCUUAUUAUCCAACAUAUUCGCUUAUCCAACGUUCUGCCGGCCCAUUUAUGUUGGAUAAGUGAGACUCUACUAUAUAUAUAAAACGCAGCUAAAGGCAGGAAUCGGUGUAAAUGGUUAAACAACGACGUGCCCAAAGGACAAGGGCUUUCCCUUGGCAUCUAAACGCAUUGGGAUGACCUCAGGUGACCCCCCUCUCGGACUCCUGUUUGGAGGCCACAGGGUCAUCCGAGGACAACAACGCUUCAUUGCAUUUACCAGCCCAUGACGAGAUCAGGAUCAAUGUAUAAACAGUUUUGUUUAGCUUCAUAGACUCCUAGAGUUGGAACAGACCUCGUGGGCCAUCCAGUCCAACCCCAUUCUGCCAAAAAGAAGGAAAAUCGCAUUUAAAGCACCCCCGACAGAUGGCCAUCCAGCCUCUGCUUAAAAGCCUCCACCACACUCCGAAGCAGUCAGUUCCACUGCUGAACAGCUCUCUCUCACAGUGAGGAAGUUCUUCCUAAUGUUCAGCUGGAAUCUACUGUAGUUUGAAUCCAUUGUUCUGUGUCCGAGUCUCUGGGGAAGCAGAAAACAAGCCUGCUCCCUCCUCCCUAUGACUUCCUCUCACAUUUAUACAUGCCUAUCUUUUCUCCUCUCUCUCUGGCUUCUCUUCUGCAGGCUAAACAUGCCCAGCUCUUUAAGCCGCUCCUCAUGGAGUUUGUUCUCCAGACCCUUGAUCAUUUUAGUCUCCCUCCUCUGGACACAUUCCAGCUUCUCAACAUCUCCCUUCAAUUGUGGUGCCCAGAAAUUGACACAGUAUUCCAGGUGUGGUCUGACCAAGGCAGAAUAGAUGGGGAGCAUGACUUCCCUGGAUCUAGGCACUAGGCUCCUAUUGAGGCAGGCUAAAAUCCCAUUGGCUUUUUUAGCCGCCACAUCACAUUGUUGGCUCAUGCUCACCUUCCUCCCUGUUGAAGUUCAUUGUGUUACUUUUGGCCAAUCAUUUCCCUAAUCUGUUAAGAUCGUUUUGAAUUCUGCUCCUAUCUCCUGGAGUAUUGGCUCUCCCUCCCAAUUUAGUCCCAUCUGCAAACUUGAUGAUCAUGCCUCCUCUGUGUUGUGACUCAACUGGAACCUCAGAAUGACUCUGAUGAGGAUGAUGGGAUUCAGGUUCACAAUCAGGUUCAAAAUGUCCCUGUUGUAGAAGACGAGGAACAGGGAGUGCAAGUUCAUUUUCCCACAGCAAGGAAUGAUGUUGAUGAUAUUGAAACUAGCCAGGUGCAAAUGGACUUGGGAAAGGAGGACAGUUCUCAGUCUGAUAAUGAGGCUCAGCAAACUAACGAGCAGGCUGACCUUGACUUAACAGGUUCCUUAGAUCGAGCUGACCGUUUGGAAUUCAGGGUUCGUAGGAGUGUGAGAAUUGCAAACAAGAGGGAGGUUAGAGGCCAGAGAAAUGCUUUCAUGCUUUGCAAAGGGUAUUAAAGCAAUGUGUUUGGAGACAAACUUUUGUCAAAACAACUUUCGUUUAACCAAGCAAGCUCUCAUUUUCCUGGAUUACCUUGCAGCUUUUGUGUUCAUGUUCUUGGGACUUUGUCAUACUCUAUGGGACCUUGUUUAUUCCUCGUGAUUUCUGUAUUUAUUCCCUAUGGCUUUAUUUUGUAACCAUUUUUUGGAACUUUACUUUUGUUUUUAGAGAACCUUUUAUCUUCUAUUUUCUAAUAAAUUAAAAAGAAUUCAA